GGUCGCGUGGCCGAGUGGUUAGGUAGAGGUCUGCAAAACCUCUUACGGUGGUUCGAACCCACUCGCGACCU
RNAcentral lists this transfer RNA (71 nucleotides) under Candidatus Cardinium sp. Its description in RNAcentral is "tRNA-Cys". It matches the Rfam family "tRNA". From Rfam's summary of the family: Transfer RNA (tRNA) molecules are approximately 80 nucleotides in length. Their secondary structure includes four short double-helical elements and three loops (D, anti-codon, and T loops). Lineage: Bacteria; Pseudomonadati; Bacteroidota; Cytophagia; Cytophagales; Amoebophilaceae. The record is from RNAcentral. RNAcentral also lists the same sequence under 1 other name.